UACACACCGCCCGUCACACCAUGGAAGUCAGCCGUACCGGAAGUCGCCUUUCCAACCCGCAAGGGAGGUAAGCGCCUAUGGUAUGACUGGUGACUGGGGUG
Molecule: ribosomal RNA, 101 nt
Filed under: uncultured bacterium
Lineage: Bacteria
Description: partial 16S ribosomal RNA
Rfam family: Bacterial small subunit ribosomal RNA
Source: RNAcentral